This 2758-nucleotide long non-coding RNA is filed under the name Anas zonorhyncha (Eastern spot-billed duck). RNAcentral's name for it is "lncRNA (ENSAZOG00000008899.1)". Lineage: Eukaryota; Metazoa; Chordata; Aves; Anseriformes; Anatidae. The record is from RNAcentral.
AUGGUGGGCGGCGGAGGCCCCGUCGCAGCCACCCUAGCGGCUCAGCCCGGGCGCCGCUCCCUGAUAGGCCGCUCCACGCCCCGCCCCUUGCUUCCCGCCGCUCCCAUUGGCCACACCGCCAGCCAGCGCUGCUCUGAUUGGCUGCCGAGGCGUCGCUCCCGCUCUGCCCGCAGCGGAGCUAUUUUCCAGGCGGCGGCGGCGGCGGGGGAGGGGAGGGGAGCGGAGGAGCGGAGCGGAGGGGCCCGGCCCGGCCCGGCCCCGCGGAGCGCCCGGCGGCUGCGGGACAUGGCGGGGGCACGGCGCGGGGCUCAGCACCGCGAAUCCCAGAUAACAGCAAUAAUCAUGUCCACAACUGAGAGAAGGCAUCUAGCAAGUUCAUGUUGAGGUAUAUUCUCAAGUCAAGACACAGCAGUGGCUCAUGCUUUUCUGGGUAAGAAUGCUCUUGACUAUGACAAAGUAAUCGACUUUAAAUUUAACUUUCAAAAAAUAGUUUGUUAAGCCAAUAUGGUGGGGAUUUUGUGGAUGGAUGGAUUUUUUUGUUUGUUUGUUUGUUUUGGGAAGUUGUGGGCAGGUAUAAAGGACUUCCAACCCAUCCAAUAGCCUAAAGGCAUUUUAGACUAAUAGUGCAAAGGAAGAGCAAUAGUGAGCAAUAGUGAAUAAUGUAUGACUGGUCAGAAGAGCAAUUCUGAGUCAUUGUCACAAACAUAUGUAUAGUUUGUAGCCUUCUUUCCCAAGGGAAGGGAGAUUAUAUAUUGUCUCUUCAUUUUUGCUUCCCAAAACUUUAAAUUUUGUUGGCUGGCUUCAGCUGAAUUAUGACAACGGGUUAGUAGGUGUCACAAAGAUAAAUUUAUAUAUCUUGGUGGCUUGAAAGAAGAAGAAAUGGAGAAUGUGAGAGAAAAGUGGGUAGAACUUAACUUUAUAUAUAUGGUGUUGACAGGCAGACACAUCAAACGUAUGCUGCUUCUGCGUAAGUGUGGAUAAUCUGAGAGACUCCACAAGCAGCUCUGAUUAUUGUGAUGGCAUGAUAGGUGCUUGUAUAGUUUCUACAAAUCUGUACAUGGUCUGGUGCUCUUAAAACUCCCCCAGUCCUCCAGCUUGGUCCAGACCACUCCAGAAAAAAAUAAUGUAGCAGUUUGUUAAAUGAGGAGGACGUUCCUCACUCAUGUGCUUACACACUUUCACUUUUAACAUGUGCACAGAACUCUGUAGAGUCUGCUACAUGUAAGACUUCCUGUCUUAGCUAGUUUUUCUCUAUCUAAAAGUUACUUGAAAAAGUGUCUUCCUUCUUAACAACUGCUUGGGUUUUAUUCAGAUUAUCAUCAGCACUGUGUUCUAGGUAACUUGCACCAGCAAUCUACAGAGGCUGUUAACAUCUUUUUUUUUUUCUUUUUUCCUUCCAUCCACCUCCCUGAGUCCAUGCUAAGUUCUUAAGGUUUUAUUUUAUGUAAUUAGGUGUAGAUACCUAGCUUACUGGUUUUGCUGAAGUAUUUGAGGAAGGAAUGGGGGAAAAAUCUUUUUUAUUCCUAUAGCAGUUAGGAAGAAUUUCAAGUCAUCUGUUCGUAAUUCUCAUGUAAGCCAUACCUCUGACUUAUCCUCAGUGCCAGUGGAUUCUGCUACAGUCAUAGGCUUACAGCUGUGCUUCUAUCUUAAGGGGCUUCUAGGCUGCAUUGCUAGACUAUUGCUUCCUUGUCUAUCAUCCGUGUUAUUUCACAAGACCCAGUGGGUUUGAUCUCUGUUUUAGAUUCCUGUCUAGCUGGGGGGGGAAAAAAAACACAGCAGCAACAGAGGAAUGUUACUUCAAAAUAAUGUAUAUCCAUACAAGUGAGCAGUUUCCAUUAAGAGUUAAAUAUGAUGACAUGUUUUAGUUCUUUUAAGUUCAGCACUUCUCUCAGAACUUAAUUAGAUCUAAUUUAGUUUGGCAUCGCCUGACUUCUCAGUACAGAAUUAACCUGUUUCUGUGUCCUAGGGCAGUCCUGUGAUUUUGGCAGUCCUGUUCCAGUUAUCAGACUAUGUUUCUGAAGAAGCAGUUGCAGAACACACACUGCUAAUGUGUUUAUCUCUUUACUGUAUCUCCAUGAUUCACUAUCACUGUUUUUACUGCAGAGCUGCUUUCUUUUUAAGUGCUCUUACUAAAGAUUGAAGAGUUUCUUGUGCUCUUUUAUGACUUGAGUAAUAAAGCCAGAUGUUUUUUAGAUGUAUGUAUGCAUAGAUGUCUGUCUGGCUGUUACUAAUGUAUUAGAGGCUUUAUAAUUCUAAAGUUUUGCUGAUACCUUAUUGCUUCCCUUUUUUUUGUGUGAAUGCUGAACACUCCAAAUUUCAAUUUUUGUGCAAUUUCAUCUUGUCUUUUGUAACUGUUCUCAUAGUUGGGAGUCACCAAAAUUGUUCUUUGUCAGGAUUUGUUUUAUUACUACCUACUGGAAGCUUAUCAAGCAGUCAUAAGUUAAAUGUGACACCUAAAAUGAAGAAUUUGAGAUCGUAUUUCCUGUCUGUCAAGUGCAAUUAUGCAGCUCUACCUAAAUUUUUAAUCAUCUGAUGAAAGUACAGAGGGGGCUGUAAAUCAAAUGUUUGUAAUUUCCAAAACAUUUUCUUCUAGGUAAUUUUUCUAAGUCUCAGAACGGUGUGAUGCCUGCCAGUGCUACGUAUCUGUGCAAGUGUGAGGGCACUUCAGCUGUAGUGUGUUCAGUCUGUAACUUAAUUGAUAACUGAAGGUGUGCUCUCAUUUUUUAAACUGUUCUAUUACAAUAUUUUUUCUUCUUUU